This 253-nucleotide ribosomal RNA is filed under the name uncultured bacterium. Its description in RNAcentral is "partial 16S ribosomal RNA". It matches the Rfam family "Bacterial small subunit ribosomal RNA", at positions 524 to 776 of the family's 1533-position model. The record is from RNAcentral.
UACGAAGGGAGCUAGCGUUGUUCGGAAUCACUGGGCGUAAAGCGCACGUAGGCGGAUGUGUCAGUCAGGGGUGAAAUCCCGGAGCUCAACUUCGGAACUGCCCUUGAUACAGCACGUCUUGAGUCCGGAAGAGGUGGGUGGAAUUCCUAGUGUAGAGGUGAAAUUCGUAGAUAUUAGGAAGAACACCGGUGGCGAAGGCGGCCCACUGGUCCGGUACUGACGCUGAGACGCGAAAGCGUGGGGAGCAAACAGG